GUGGAAUAUUAGCAUGUAAAAAAGACUUACUUGAAAGGUUGUGAAAUUUAAAUCAUUCAUUUUAUUGGCUUAAACAGAUCACUUUUUGUACUGAAGGAACACUUUGAGGGUGAAAAUGUGUUUUAAACAGUGCUUUUAAAUUAAAAAAAUGGCAAUCAGACAUUCUUUUUCCUCAAGACUUAUCACUAACGGCUUUUAGUACAACUACCUUUACCCCCUAGAAAAGAAAUGUUUUCAUGACAAAAUCUUUUCAGAAAAUGUGCUUCUUUUUUACUGACUUACCACUUAAUUAAUGACAUGGGAUCAGAACUAGUUACAUGGAAUAAAUUUACAAUCUUUAACUUUCAAAAUCUGAAAAACCAUCAAGUUUAAGUUUUGUCGCAUUUUUCAAUAGCACAGAACAACUAGAGUGGGGUGCUCAUUUUCGCCAUAUCUUUCCAUGUUUUCUUCAGUUUAUGUUCAGGUUUUUGUGUUUUUGAAGUAAACUGAUAUUUCUAUAUGAAGAUAACUUCAAAUGCAAAAUAUUCUUAGCUUGAAAACGUGUUUAUUUUGAGAAAAAUCAUCUGAAAAGUUGGUUUAAAGGGUGUUUAAAAUUUCUUGAUUUUUUUGUCAACGGGGGACACAUAUUCACCGUUUUUACACAUCUAUUUAAAACCAAAUAACUGCAGCUUUAAACAAUAUUUAUCAAAUAAAUUUCAUUAUAGAUGAAAGCGGACAUUUGAAAGGUGAAAAAAAAAAAUGAAAUUUAGGACAAUCAGUCAAAGAAUUACUAAGAAAUACUUCUAUGAAAUCUUUUUUUUUUAUUCAGGAAAUUUGCUUAAAAACAUUGUCCAUUUUUCAGACCUUUGCGGUAAGUGCCGACAUUUGGUCUCAUUUUCAAAAAUAAUCAUAUUUGUUAUAAAAUUAUAAUUUACCGGCAUAUUUCUUCCAUUUCAACCAUUCUUUGAAGUUUUUACACCUCAAAAUCAUAAAAUGGCGAAAUUGUGUCCACGGCGAAUAUGAGCGCCCCACUCUAAUAAUAACUCAAUUAUUCAUUUGAAAGUCUAUUUAAAGUCACCAAUCUAAUGUUGAGUUGCCUUUUUAGAUGUGUAUUUGUGAAUUUUUUUCAUUAGGUUGUUAGAAUAGCGCCCAUAACUCCUUAUCCUUUCAUUCAUGUAAGCUAUAUCAUUGAGUUUCACAG
This 1180-nucleotide long non-coding RNA is filed under the name Mytilus galloprovincialis (Mediterranean mussel). The record is from RNAcentral. Lineage: Eukaryota; Metazoa; Mollusca; Bivalvia; Mytilida; Mytilidae.